This 468-nucleotide ribosomal RNA is filed under the name uncultured bacterium. RNAcentral describes it as "partial 16S ribosomal RNA". It matches the Rfam family "Bacterial small subunit ribosomal RNA", at positions 28 to 507 of the family's 1533-position model. The record is from RNAcentral.
GACGAACGCUGGCGGCGUGCUUAACACAUGCAAGUCGAACGAAAAGGCCCUGCUUUUGCGGGUUGCUCGUUUGCCGAACGGGUGUUUAACACGUGAUUACCAUCCCCUUAUCUUUGUGUUAUCUUCUGGAAACUGGGGCUCUUACCGCGUAUAAUCUCUUGCUCCAUGUUGGUGGUUGGAAAAUUUCGGCGGUUGUGGAUGGACUCGCGGCUUAUCCGCUUGUUGGUGGGGUAGUGGCUUACCAGGGCUUUGACGGGUAGCCGGCCUGAGAGGGUGACCGGCCACAUGGGGACUGAGAUACGGCCCAGACUCCUACGGGAGGCAGAAGUGGGGAAUAUUGCACAAUGGGCGGAAGCCUGAGGCAGCAACGCCGCGUGCGGGAUGACGGCCUUCGGGGUGUAAACCGCUUUCGCCUGUGACGAAGCGUGAGUGACGGUAAUGGGUAAAGAAGCACCGGCUAACUACGUG